GCCCAAAGUCGCACGUGCCUGUGGAUGUACGCCGAUCCUCUAAUGGUGAGGGAUUCGGUAAGGUACCUGGUAGUGAUUCUAGUCAUUCUUACGACCAAUCGUAAGAGUGAGAACAUCCUGAAGCAACGACGGUGCGGGCCUUU
This 143-nucleotide small RNA is filed under the name Bartonella tamiae Th239. RNAcentral describes it as "Alphaproteobacterial sRNA ar45". It matches the Rfam family "Alphaproteobacterial sRNA ar45". The record is from Rfam by way of RNAcentral. Lineage: Bacteria; Pseudomonadati; Pseudomonadota; Alphaproteobacteria; Hyphomicrobiales; Bartonellaceae.